GGCCCCUUUCUAGUUGAAAUCAAAUGGAACCCUAAAAAUUAAACCCCCUAAUUUCUAGCUUUUCCAUUGAUGUCCUUUCACCAUAUGAGCGUGUUCUUCGUCUGCUCGUGAUCAAAACCCAUCUGUUGUCUCGUCAUAAGUCGUCGUCGUUUGUCGUGAAUCGACAUUUAAAAAGUACAUCAAAAACCCACCGGGCAUCAUUGAGUUUCUUCUAUUUUGUGCCGAUCCCGAGCUCAUUUGGUCUCACCACCCCCAGUACUGGACUCCCCAGUGUCGUCCGACCAAAACCCAACCGAUUUGGUUCAUAACCGUUGCACUGUGGGUAGUCGAGACUCUCCCGAUCGCUCUUCAGCUUGACCAAGCUCCUCUCGAUCCAUUCGAUCGCGUGAGCUCGUGAUUACCCUAUAAUUUUAUAAACCCUAUAAAUAUUCAGAUUUAAAUAUUAUUUCGAUAGUAACCCGAAUUUGUUGUGUUUUAGGUUCGAGCAUUAUUGUAGAGCGUAGCGAGGCCCAUGCUUAGUAGACCUCCUAGACUGAUUCAUUUUUAGUUUUGCAGGUUUAGCCCCGAUCAGGCUGGUAAUACCUUAUGGACCUAAGGCAACCCUUGGGUGGGCAGCUAGGUCUAAGGCACUCCAUUAGAGUGGUUUCUUUGCUUUGUGCAUUAGGUAAAUCCUUAUGGACUUGAUGGAACUUCCUCAGGUGGCUCCUAUGCUUCGGCUAGGGUAUAUUUAAGAGAAUGCAGGGUAUGUGAGUCCGAUAGAAUGUGCGUACUAAGCACCAACAGUGCUAUCAUCAAAAUCAGAAUAUGCACUCCAAGUGGAAUCAUAUCAUUUGUACUAACUGUGUGAUACAUAAUGUACACGAUUGUACCAGAUUAG
Molecule: long non-coding RNA, 877 nt
Organism: Hibiscus syriacus
Lineage: Eukaryota; Viridiplantae; Streptophyta; Magnoliopsida; Malvales; Malvaceae
Exons: 3
Source: RefSeq, a predicted model, not a curated record